This 253-nucleotide ribosomal RNA is filed under the name uncultured bacterium. RNAcentral describes it as "partial 16S ribosomal RNA". It matches the Rfam family "Bacterial small subunit ribosomal RNA", at positions 524 to 776 of the family's 1533-position model. The record is from RNAcentral.
UACGUAGGGGGCUAGCGUUGCUCGGAAUCACUGGGCGUAAAGGGCGCGUAGGCGGCUUUAUAAGUCGGGGGUGAAAGCCUGUGGCUCAACCACAGAAUUGCCUUCGAUACUGUAGAGCUUGAGACCGGAAGAGGUAAGUGGAACUGCGAGUGUAGAGGUGAAAUUCGUAGAUAUUCGCAAGAACACCAGUGGCGAAGGCGGCUUACUGGUCCGGUUCUGACGCUGAGGCGCGAAAGCGUGGGGAGCAAACAGG